GAUGAACGCUGGCGGCGUGCUUAACACAUGCAAGUCGAACGGUGAGGCACAGCUUUCUCUGUGGAUCCGUGGCGAACGGGUGAGUAACACGUGAGCAACCUGCCCCUUACUCUUGGGUAUACGCUGGAAACGGCGUCUAAAACUGGGUAUGAGCUGCGACCGCAUGGUCAGCGGUUGGAAAGAUUUUUCGGUCUGGGAUGGGCUCACGGCCUAUCCGCUUGUUGGUUGGGUAAUUGCUCUCCAAGGCGUCGACGGGUAGCCGGCCUGAGAGGGUGACCGGCCACAAUGGGACUGAGACAACGCCCAGACUCCUAACGGAGGCAGCAGGUGGGAAUAUUGCACAAAGGGCCAAAGGCUGAAGCAGGAACGGCGCGGGGGGGAAGACGGCCUUCGGGGUGGAAACCUCUUUUAGCAGGGAAGAAGCGAAAGGGACGGUACCUGCAGAAAGAGCGACGGCUAACUACGUG
RNAcentral lists this ribosomal RNA (467 nucleotides) under uncultured bacterium. Its description in RNAcentral is "partial 16S ribosomal RNA". It matches the Rfam family "Bacterial small subunit ribosomal RNA", at positions 28 to 507 of the family's 1533-position model. The record is from RNAcentral.